RNAcentral lists this non-coding RNA (129 nucleotides) under Acyrthosiphon pisum (pea aphid). Lineage: Eukaryota; Metazoa; Arthropoda; Insecta; Hemiptera; Aphididae. The record is from RNAcentral.
ACUUGAGGUGAUGCUAUACCUUCUCGAGGUCUUCCAUGCGAGUAGUGUAUUCUCGCUGGUCUGAAUAGGUAUCAAAUUUCCCAAAGUAUUUUCACGAAUCAUACAACUAAUACACGAAACCAAAUAGCA